Molecule: long non-coding RNA, 1594 nt
Filed under: Dendronephthya gigantea
Lineage: Eukaryota; Metazoa; Cnidaria; Anthozoa; Malacalcyonacea; Nephtheidae
Description: uncharacterized LOC114541007
Source: RNAcentral
AGUACCAGUUGGCAAAAACCCCAGAGAAAUCAGCAGAGAAGUAACAAUAUAUCGCAAAGCAUCACAACUCACAAAAUCUGAGUAUGAUGAUGAUUCAACAACAUGGUUUUUAUCGUUUUAUCGUGUAAGUUUCAAUGGCAUGGCAUAGAGCAUCUUCUGGGGAAACUCAGACACCAUGAACACUGUGCCAUGAAUGUAGACAAGGAAAAAACGACACACAAAUGGCGUGUAUUUGCCUGGAGACAGAUUGCCAGGGCAGAAGUAAUGGAUGUCAGAAGUAAUGGAUUGUGUUUCUUGGCUUGGUUUUCGAACUGUUGACGAUUGGACACCAUUCAAUGCGUCUGGUAUACCAGGAACUACAGUGAGAGGGUCGUCCAUACCUUGAGAAAAUGUCCAGGAAGAUAUUGUAUUGGCUUCAACAAGAACGGGAGAGACCGCUCUCGAUAUGGCGAAGAAAACUGUGGAACUCAGGAUGUUGGAGAUACCUACGACACAGUAAAUAACGUUGUGUGAAUGUGUCAUUGCAUGUCUUUAAUUUAUUGUAAAGCCAGUCGUUUGUCUGAGCGCAAACUAACUUCUGGCGUUAAUUAUCCCUAUUUCGUCUAUCCAUUCGUUGAGAAAGGUUUAGUGCUACACGUCAAAUUACAGGGCAAAAUAUAAUCCUCAAUUUCAAAAAGAGCCAUGCACCAAUGACAUUUUUCAUGGCAAGUUUUAUAUGCUCUUGGAUGCAGCAAAAUAUUGACAAGUUAAACGCUAAAGGGGCUGAUUCAAAAGCUGUUCAUGAUAGAAUUACUCGUAUUUACAGCCGACCUGGAAAAACAUACUGUCGUACCUACGACAGAAUAUUACCAGGACAAGACACUUGUAUUAUUGUGUAUGUCAAGAAACCAACCUAUACGCUUCCAAUUCUGUUUUUUCCCUUUUAAAUACAAGUGUUUAGUCGACAGCAUUUUAAAAUAAAACGUCACUAUGAUAACUGCAGUAAAGCUUCGUCAUGGAGGCACCUUGAAUGGCUUUAAUGGUGAUAUGAUUUUAACAAUAUCAUGGUUACAAGAUCUCGCAUUUUAGGUUGAUUGAAUACUAUUAGCAUUAAAUUAUGCUCUGUAGGCAAACCUUGCAGGAUUUGGAAAAAUCAUUACUUUUUCUGAGGAAGAUUUUGAUGAAGCCUUCGGUAGGAUUUUGAAUCAAGAAAUUUUUAUAUCGACUAGAUAUUUUGAUGAAUAAGAAAUAUUGCGUUAUUUCCGGUAAAUAUUAAACAAAACUUUACAGAUGAGAGUCAUGAGACGUGAUCUACUUUGUGUUAAGUUUUUCGAUUUUUGUAGUAUUACUGUUUAGUAUUCCCAAUCGAUACUGUGUAGUCGAUACCUAUUGAAGUCAUUCGGUUCUCUCCAUUUCCUUAAACAGGGUUAUUUAUUAUUAACUUUACUAUCACAUGCAUGAUAAGUAUUUGUUACGUGAGAAAUGUAAUGUUUGUUGUUCCAGGUCAUCUGGAAUGGUGGCUGAGGACUGGGACUGGCGCUAGUUGUCAAAUAAAAAUCCAUUUCUCGCGAUUGAAACAACUUGAAAUAUACUUUUUUACGGUUUCAAAUUUAUG